This 482-nucleotide ribosomal RNA is filed under the name uncultured bacterium. Its description in RNAcentral is "partial 16S ribosomal RNA". It matches the Rfam family "Bacterial small subunit ribosomal RNA", at positions 30 to 507 of the family's 1533-position model. The record is from RNAcentral.
AUUGAACGCUGGCGGCAUGCCUUACACAUGCAAGUCGAACGGUAACGGGCCUUCGGGUGCCGACGAGUGGCGAACGGGUGAGUAAUACAUCGGAACGUGCCCGAUCGUGGGGGAUAACGAGGCGAAAGCUUUGCUAAUACCGCAUACGAUCUACGGAUGAAAGCAGGGGACCGCAAGGCCUUGCGCGGACGGAGCGGCCGAUGGCAGAUUAGGUAGUUGGUGGGAUAAAAGAUUACCAAGCCGACGAUCUGUAGCUGGUCUGAGAGGAUGAUCAGCCACACUGGGACUGAGACACGGCCCAGACUCCUACGGGAGGCAGCAGUGGGGAAUUUUGGACAAUGGGCGCAAGCCUGAUCCAGCCAUGCCGCGUGCAGGAUGAAGGCCUUCGGGUUGUAAACUGCUUUUGUACGGAACGAAAAGCCUUCUUUUAAUACAGGAGGGUCAUGACGGUACCGUAAGAAUAAGCACCGGCUAACUACGUG